AGACUGGAAACAGGGGCUGGGAUGGUAGCUGGGGAUCUGGAACGUUGAAGAGGCAGAACUGGCAGGAAUGGGUAGGGAAAGUGUUUGGUAAAUAGCACCUUUGAAUCAGAACUGAGUAGUUAAGAAAUCCAGGAAAGGGGACUGGCAGUGGGGAGGAAGUUUUCUCCACAAGGGGCAAUGGCAGGAGGGUAGCCAGGUUGACCAGAUGUUCUAGCUCCAUCCUUCUUGAGAUGGUCUUGGGUUUGCGAUACUCAAGGCCUUCUGAGGACCCCUCACUAAUACCACUGAAAACCUGAAGGAAGAGGAUUUCUUCCCAGUGUAGUUUUGCAUUUUUCUGCAACCCAAAACAGUAAAGGUGCUCUGAGCACGGGGAAGAAAAAAACAAUGCCCAAGGUUUGGCUUUUAGUGUCAGCCCUACAAAAAUACCAAGUAGUCCUGCAGAACUUGGGGCAUUCUCCCAUUCGGCCAAGGAAUACUGCAAGGCUGAGGAUCCAGCCAUAGUCCCAAGGACAGAGGGAGAGAUGGUUCCCUAAGCCUGCCAAGGCACCAGAAGGUUGUAAGAGCCAGUUCUCCUCCAGACCCUCCUGGGACCCAAGAGGCCAUAUUGCACAGUGACUGAGAACUUUUGUCCUAGAAAACAGGGUAACUGCAUGACCCAACCAGGAGGGGAGAGGAGCAGGGAGAGUUAGAGAGGAGUGUUGUGCUUUUAAAAAGAAGGCAGUAAUCAAGGAUGUGGAGUUCCCUGUAACUUUUGAGCCACCUCUCCAAGGGAUAAUGGUAGCAUCGCCAGGACUUUCACGUAGUUCCAAAAAAAAAAAAAAAAAAAAAAAAUUACCACAUGUACACAUAGAGCAGCACAUAGCAAGGCAAAGAUUUCGUGCAGAGUACCCUUCUGUCCCAACUCCAAUAACCUGCAACCCCUGCCUCACUCCCCUGAACCCCCAAACAAAAAGCUUUAUAUUCUUGGUGGGUAGCAACAUCCAUAGGCCCCUGAGAAUAGAAUUAGAAAUAAGUCAUGAUUUUAAGAAAAACUGUUCAGGACAGAAGGAAUCAAGAGAGGCUUUUUCACUCUCUGCCUAGGAUCUCAUUAGAAAAAUAAAAGAGAAAGAUUAGGCAAUAUAGCAUAAUUUAAGUCCAGGUUUGAAUGCCCCUGAGUAAGAGAGGGGCUGGGGAUGCAGGUGUCCUGGUUAGAAGAGGGAGAGGUUAGAACUCAGCCUCUCUUCUCCAUCCAGGACAGAUCCUGACCUCUCUCAUUCACAGUUGCUAACCUUGCUUGCUCCUUCUCACAACUUCCUGGGGUGCUAGCCAAGCCUCUCCCCCAUCACCUUGACCAGACCCGCCCCCUGAACUUUCCCCCCUCCCAUAGGCAGACACUGGCUCCCAGACUCAAGCGCACAACGAUUCUCUCCAAAGGCACCUGGGGAGGCCACUUCCAAGCAGCUCCCUUUAAGGAUUUUUUUCUUAAAAAAAAUCUUUUGGUUUUUUUUUUU
This 1490-nucleotide long non-coding RNA is filed under the name Sus scrofa (pig). RNAcentral describes it as "lncRNA (ENSSSCG00055023339.1)". Lineage: Eukaryota; Metazoa; Chordata; Mammalia; Artiodactyla; Suidae. The record is from RNAcentral.